RNAcentral lists this ribosomal RNA (253 nucleotides) under uncultured bacterium. RNAcentral describes it as "partial 16S ribosomal RNA". It matches the Rfam family "Bacterial small subunit ribosomal RNA", at positions 524 to 776 of the family's 1533-position model. The record is from RNAcentral.
UACGGAGGGUGCGAACGUUAAUCGGAAUCACUGGGCGUAAAGCGCGCGUAGGCGGUUCGUUAAGUGGGAUGUGAAAUCCCCGGGCUUAACCUGGGAAUUGCAUUUCAAACUGGCCGACUAGAGUACGGUAGAGGGAGGUAGAAUUUCCUGUGUAGCGGUGAAAUGCGUAGAUAUAGGAAGGAAUACCAGUGGCGAAGGCGGCCUCCUGGAUCGAUACUGACGCUGAGGCGCGAAAGCGUGGGGAGCGAACAGG